Small nucleolar RNA from Erinaceus europaeus (western European hedgehog), 65 nucleotides. The record is from Ensembl. NCBI's taxonomy places the organism in Eukaryota, Metazoa, Chordata, Mammalia, Eulipotyphla, Erinaceidae.
UGCUCUGAUGAAAUCACUCAUAGGAAGUGCCAUCAGAUGCGACAAAUGUAUGCACAUGUAUGCAC